AUGAUCGUCCCCUCAUCUAGUUUUGUGAUUCUCGCAGAGCAAGGUGCAUCUAGGGUUUCAUCAGAUCUCGUCUAUUUUGUUGCUGAUAUCUGUCACUCCGUCCUUGCGCUGCUGGCAAAUGACAUGUCUUCGCCAAGCAGAGUAGAAGGAGGAGUUCAAGUGAAUCCAGUAGUUGAUUGCAGUGGUCAUAAUGAUACACCAAUUGGCUCUUGUUGUCCUGGUGAGAAAGAGAAGCAGAGGAGAGCUGCAGAUGGUGCCAAGGGUGCCAAAUUUGUUAAAGUCAAGCAGCCUGCUUUACAGAAGAAUAGACUGAGUUCUGUUGCUGAGGAAGGUGGUACUCCUCGGCGGAGUCCUCGUGUUGCUUGCAUGAAGAAGAAUCUUGGUAAGAGAACUGCUGAAGCUGGUGCAAAGGAUCCUCAACGGAAGCGACCACAUGUCAGUGAAGGUCCCAACUCGGACGAUGACGACUUUGUGCUUGCUGAUUUUGUGAGGGAUGUUCAGACUGGUAGACGGAAAGACUGUGGUCCAUCUAAGAGUCAACCCAAGCGGCCCCGUGUUGAUGGCGACGAAGGUGUUGGUGCUAACUCUGGUGCGGAGGCGGAUGUUUUUCCAAAGAGGAAGAAGUCUAGUAAGAGCAAUGUAACUGAAGAUGAUGCCGAGAGAGAUGAUGCUCGACUUAACAAGACCGUACGUUUGUCGCUCCCCACUGUUUGCAAAGCUGCUUCUUUAUUGAAAGAAGCACACUGUAGUCGUGUUCGGGAUGUUGUCUUUGGUGUUGUCCUUGAAUUGACAGUAAAUAAAAAUGUGUCACGCAUUCUUAUGUGCUAUCUGAUGGGAGUGAUUGACCCUGCCACGAUGACAGUGGAAUUUGGGAAUGGCAGGGUUCUUCGAAUCAAUCAUGACGUAGUUCAUCACAUUUUGGAUUUACCUAUGGGUCAUCACACUACACCCAUGCCUGCUACUAGUGGCCAUGAUGACUCGUUCUCUGCCCUCAAGGAUGAGCUUGAAUUUGACCAUUCAAAAAGUAUAGGUGUCAAGGACUUGGUUCAGAAGCUGGAGGUGUUGGUGGAGGAAGAUGAUCAUGCGACGGUUGAUCUUGCUAUCAAGGUGUUCUUCCUGAUACUUUAUCGGAAUUUGCUGUGCCCUGAGCCUGCAGUUCGUUUGGGCAGGGUUCCUGCCAUGGUUGAGAACAUGGAUUCUGCGGCUAUGGUGCAGAUGGACUUUUGUCAGCUUGUUGUUGAUGAGUUGCAGGCAGCUUUGAGCUUCGCAAAUUUUCAGUUAUGCACACUGGAAGGCGUCAGGGAUAUUGUGUACAACCGUCCUGCUGUAGUGUUAUGUGGCAGCUCUGAUGUGGGGCCUAGCACUCAUUCUAGGUUCUAUGAGCCUAUUUGUAGCCAACUUCCUGCCUGUGAUGAUGAGCCGCCGCCUACUCGUGGUUUCACGGCUCGUCGGAUGUUUGAUAAUAGAAGCUCUUCUGAACAGACAUUUGUUGGUGGCAAAAAACACGAGGAGAUUGAUGAGCUUCUUCUGAAAGUUUUGAAGUUGACUGAAGAUUUGCCAACCUCUGGUGACAGGUUGAGGACAAUUGCUGGUUUUUUCCCUGCUGGCCAUGGCCCCCGAGAAGAAUAUAUUGUUGUUGCUCACAAUUUUGACUGUUGUGUGGUUGAAAGCUUGAAGAUUGCAGUGACGAAUAUUCAGUCUUCGUAUGCUCACUUGAAACAUUCACAUGAAGAAAAAUGUGCCCGGUAUGAGAAGGAUGCUGAGCACAUUUUAGAUGGAAUGAACCAACAGGACACUGGCGCCGACACUGAUAAUGCUGGAGUGGAAUCUUCUGGUGUUCAUGGAUCUAGGGACAGUGGACUUAGUCAGGCACAGACAGGAGUUGCUGCUUGUGUUGUGCACAAAGAUUCCUACGACGGCCCUAAGAAGGAUGAGGACUUGGUUGUUGCGUCGUCUCCUCCGAAUGUUGUAUCUGAUAAGGCUGGAAAUGAAAAUGUAGAAGUUCGUCAAUCGGUGGCAUUGUUCAUGAUGAUUACAGAACCUUCAGUAGCUCAGGAAUCCCACCAUGCUGUUGCCCCUAGUCGGCAUGAAGAUUUUCAUGUUGGCAUUGAAAAACCGCUGGAGAAUGUUGUUCCUGCUGGUAGUAUUGCUACUUCUCGUGAUGUAUUGAGAGUGGAGCCUCAUGUAGCUGAAGUAUCUAAGGACAUUGCAGUUGAUCGGACUGUUGUAAAUCCAGAGAAUGCUAAUGUUGCUAUAGUAGGGCAGUCCAGUGAGGUUGUGGUGGUUACGUCGCAACCUAGCCAAGAAAAUGUUUGGGUUAGCUCUGAAGAACAACAGCAUGAAGACUCUGACAGUGAAGGAAAGUGUUUUGUUUUGAAUAGUGAAGUUGAAGUUUUUCUCAUCCAUUUUUUAAUUACUAUGACAAGUAUUUCACAUGGUGGUAGUGUAGGAAGGAGUGUGCAAUUGAUGUUCUCUUCAAAAGCCGACGAGCAUGUCGAUAAAAAAGAUAUGGUCCUAUUUGCAACAUUUGAUCCGCUAGAGACGAGGCAUGGCGUUGGUCAUUAUUGUGUAGUUGCCUUAAAUGUGAAAGAAAGGCAGUUUGAAUUUCUCGACUCGCUCAAUAAACCUGGCAGCUUUGAAGCGAACAUGAUUUUUAGGAGGAUGGUUAAAAAUAUCAAGCGUGCAUGGAAAGAAGGUAGCUCAAGUUCUGACGAGCCGCUAAUUCCUCCUACACUUGAUGGAUUUGUGUUGAAACAUGUUGUUGUCCCACUUCAGCCAAAUGGGCAUGAUUGUGGAUUCUAUAUGUUUCAAUUCUUGCAGAUUGGGACGGUGUUUGAGUGGCUCUGUUUGCGGUGGAGCACAUUGGCUACAUCAGAAAGGCCAUGCUCUAUAGUUGGCUCACAUCGACAAAGUGUUCCCUUCAGUUAUCGUCACUUUUAA
RNAcentral lists this ribosomal RNA (2940 nucleotides) under Triticum aestivum (bread wheat). RNAcentral describes it as "partial small subunit ribosomal RNA". Lineage: Eukaryota; Viridiplantae; Streptophyta; Magnoliopsida; Poales; Poaceae. The record is from RNAcentral.